This 699-nucleotide ribosomal RNA is filed under the name Pseudocyphellaria crocata. RNAcentral describes it as "SSU rRNA". It matches the Rfam family "Bacterial small subunit ribosomal RNA", at positions 196 to 851 of the family's 1533-position model. The record is from RNAcentral. Lineage: Eukaryota; Fungi; Ascomycota; Lecanoromycetes; Peltigerales; Lobariaceae.
AGAAACAAAUGUUUGUAUUCGCUCUAAGAAUUUUUUAUCUCGUGUAGUAGUAGUUAAGGUAAAAAUAGAACUAGCUUUAUAGAAUACACGUAGUCGAAACUGAAAGGUUGAUCGAUCACAAUGUGGCCUGAACAAAGCCCAUGACAAAAGUAGCAGCAGUGAGGAAUAUUGGUCAAUAGCCUAACGGCUGAACCAGCAACUUGGAGGAAAGUAAAGCAAUUGCUGAUUACAUUAAAUCUUUUAUAAGAUUUAGAGCUGAAUGUAAUUACUACUUAGUAGUUUAAAUUUCGAGGUAGAAUCUGAUGAUGACAUUUUCUAUCUUUAUGUCUUGACCAAAUUACGUGCCAGCAGUCGCGGUAAUACGUAGAAGACGAGUGUUAUUCAUCUUUAUUAGGUUUAAAGGGUACCAAGACGGUUAAUAAAGCCCAGUAUAUAUUAAAACGAGGGGACACAUUGACUAGAGUUAUAUGAAAGGAAGCUCGAAGGUACUGUUGAGUGUAGAGAUGAAAUUCUGUCAUACCAGAUGAGUGGCACAGAUUUAGGCGAAGGCAUCUUCUUAUGUAAUAACUGACGUUGUAGGACGAAGGCUUUUGAAGUGAACAGGAUUAGAUACCCCAGUAAUCUUAGCAGAAAAUGAUGAAUGUCAUAGGUUAAUCAAAAUUAUAAAACAAAUACUUAUAAUUAGGAUUGGUCUAUAAA